Molecule: ribosomal RNA, 1520 nt
Filed under: Francisella sp. AF-01-22
Lineage: Bacteria; Pseudomonadati; Pseudomonadota; Gammaproteobacteria; Thiotrichales; Francisellaceae
Description: 16S ribosomal RNA
Rfam family: Bacterial small subunit ribosomal RNA
Source: RNAcentral
AGAGUUUGAUCAUGGCUUAGAUUGAACGCUGGUGGCAUGCUUAACACAUGCAAGUCGAACGGUAACAGGUCUUCGGAUGCUGACGAGUGGCGGACGGGUGAGUAACGCGUAGGAAUCUGCCCAUCUGUGGGGGAUACCAGUUGGAAACGACUGUUAAUACCGCAUAAUAUCUGCGGAUUAAAGGUGGCCUUUGCGCUGCCGCAGAUGGAUGAGCCUGCGUUGGAUUAGCUAGUUGGUGGGGUAAGGGCCUACCAAGGCUACGAUCCAUAGCUGAUUUGAGAGGAUGAUCAGCCACGUUGGGACUGAGACACGGCCCAAACUCCUACGGGAGGCAGCAGUGGGGAAUAUUGGACAAUGGGGGAAACCCUGAUCCAGCAAUGCCAUGUGUGUGAAGAAGGCUCUAGGGUUGUAAAGCACUUUAGUUGGGGAGGAAAGCCUGUGAGUUAAUAGCUUGCAGGAAGGACGUUGCCCAAAGAAUAAGGACCGGCUAACUCCGUGCCAGCAGCCGCGGUAAUACGGGGGGUCCGAGCGUUAAUCGGAAUUACUGGGCGUAAAGGGUCUGUAGGUGGUUUGUUAAGUCAGAUGUGAAAGCCCAGGGCUCAACCUUGGAACUGCAUUUGAUACUGACAAACUAGAGUAUGGUAGAGGAAUAGGGAACUUCUGGUGUAGCGGUGAAAUGCGUAGAGAUCAGAAGGAACACCAAUGGCGAAGGCAACAUUCUGGACCAAUACUGACACUGAGGGACGAAAGCGUGGGGAUCAAACAGGAUUAGAUACCCUGGUAGUCCACGCUGUAAACGAUGAGUACUAGCUGUUGGAUUCGGUGUAAAGGAUCUAGUGGCGCAGCUAACGCGUUAAGUACUCCGCCUGGGGACUACGGCCGCAAGGCUAAAACUCAAAGGAAUUGACGGGGACCCGCACAAGCGGUGGAGCAUGUGGUUUAAUUCGAUGCAACGCGAAGAACCUUACCUGGUCUUGACAUCCUGCGAACUUUCUAGAGAUAGAUUGGUGCCUUCGGGAACGCAGUGACAGGUGCUGCACGGCUGUCGUCAGCUCGUGUUGUGAAAUGUUGGGUUAAGUCCCGCAACGAGCGCAACCCCUAUUGAUAGUUACCAUCAUUAAGUUGGGUACUCUAUUGAGACUGCCGCUGACAAGGCGGAGGAAGGUGGGGACGACGUCAAGUCAUCAUGGCCCUUACGACCAGGGCUACACACGUGCUACAAUGGGUAUUACAGAGGGCUGCGAAGGUGCGAGCUGGAGCGAAACUCAGAAAGGUACUCUUAGUCCGGAUUGCAGUCUGCAACUCGACUGCAUGAAGUCGGAAUCGCUAGUAAUCGCAGGUCAGAAUACUGCGGUGAAUACGUUCCCGGGUCUUGUACACACCGCCCGUCACACCAUGGGAGUGGGUUGCUCCAGAAGUAGAUAGCUUAACGAAUGGGCGUUUACCACGGAGUGAUUCAUAACUGGGGUGAAGUCGUAACAAGGUAGCCGUAGGGGAACCUGCGGCUGGAUCACCCCCUU